UACAGAGGUCCCGAGCGUUGUUCGGAUUUACUGGGCGUAAAGGGUGCGUAGGCGGUUGGGCAAGUCUGAUGUGAAAGCCCCGGGCUCAACCCGGGAAUGGCAUCGGAAACUGCCUGGCUGGAGGGCUGGAGGGGGGACUGGAAUUCCCGGUGUAGCAGUGAAAUGCGUAGAGAUCGGGAGGAACGCCAGUGGCGAAGGCGAGUCCCUGGACAGCUCCUGACGCUGAGGCACGAAAGCCAGGGGAG
This 245-nucleotide ribosomal RNA is filed under the name uncultured bacterium. RNAcentral describes it as "partial 16S ribosomal RNA". It matches the Rfam family "Bacterial small subunit ribosomal RNA", at positions 524 to 768 of the family's 1533-position model. The record is from RNAcentral.